CAGCCGCCGCGGUAAUACGAAGGGUGCGAGCGUUAAUCGGAAUUACUGGGCGUAAAGCGUGCGUAGGCGGUGAGUUAAGUCUGCUGUGAAAUCCCCGGGCUCAACCUGGGAAUGGCAGUGGAUACUGGCUCGCUAGAGUGUGUCAGAGGAUGGUGGAAUUCCCGGUGUAGCGGUGAAAUGCGUAGAGAUCGGGAGGAACAUCAGUGGCGAAAGCGGCUCACUGGACCAUUACUGACGCUGAGGUACGAAAGCUAGGGGAGCAAACAGGAUUAGAUACCCCCGUAGUCCCUGUCUCUUAUAC
Molecule: ribosomal RNA, 301 nt
Filed under: uncultured bacterium
Lineage: Bacteria
Description: partial 16S ribosomal RNA
Rfam family: Bacterial small subunit ribosomal RNA
Source: RNAcentral